UUAAUUAAUUUAAUAAUUGUCUCAGACUGCAUACUUCAGACAGCGUUCACAGGUGGCUUCGGCGGGCGCGGGCCCGGGGGCAGAUACCCCCCGGCGGCCGUGAGGCGGGCCCGCCGAAGCAACAAGGUUCGUUAAACACGGGUGGGAGGUUGGACCCCGAGGGGCCCUCACUCAGUAAUGAUCCUUCCGCAGGUUCACCUACGGAAA
RNAcentral lists this unclassified non-coding RNA (207 nucleotides) under uncultured fungus. RNAcentral's name for it is "sequence contains ITS1, 5.8S rRNA gene". The record is from RNAcentral. Lineage: Eukaryota; Fungi.